Molecule: ribosomal RNA, 1204 nt
Filed under: Microbacterium sp. HMWF026
Lineage: Bacteria; Bacillati; Actinomycetota; Actinomycetes; Micrococcales; Microbacteriaceae
Description: bacterial SSU rRNA
Rfam family: Bacterial small subunit ribosomal RNA
Source: RNAcentral
GACACGGCCCAGACUCCUACGGGAGGCAGCAGUGGGGAAUAUUGCACAAUGGGCGAAAGCCUGAUGCAGCAACGCCGCGUGAGGGAUGACGGCCUUCGGGUUGUAAACCUCUUUUAGCAGGGAAGAAGCGAAAGUGACGGUACCUGCAGAAAAAGCGCCGGCUAACUACGUGCCAGCAGCCGCGGUAAUACGUAGGGCGCAAGCGUUAUCCGGAAUUAUUGGGCGUAAAGAGCUCGUAGGCGGUUUGUCGCGUCUGCUGUGAAAUCCCGAGGCUCAACCUCGGGCCUGCAGUGGGUACGGGCAGACUAGAGUGCGGUAGGGGAGAUUGGAAUUCCUGGUGUAGCGGUGGAAUGCGCAGAUAUCAGGAGGAACACCGAUGGCGAAGGCAGAUCUCUGGGCCGUAACUGACGCUGAGGAGCGAAAGGGUGGGGAGCAAACAGGCUUAGAUACCCUGGUAGUCCACCCCGUAAACGUUGGGAACUAGUUGUGGGGACCAUUCCACGGUUUCCGUGACGCAGCUAACGCAUUAAGUUCCCCGCCUGGGGAGUACGGCCGCAAGGCUAAAACUCAAAGGAAUUGACGGGGACCCGCACAAGCGGCGGAGCAUGCGGAUUAAUUCGAUGCAACGCGAAGAACCUUACCAAGGCUUGACAUACACCAGAACGGGCCAGAAAUGGUCAACUCUUUGGACACUGGUGAACAGGUGGUGCAUGGUUGUCGUCAGCUCGUGUCGUGAGAUGUUGGGUUAAGUCCCGCAACGAGCGCAACCCUCGUUCUAUGUUGCCAGCACGUAAUGGUGGGAACUCAUGGGAUACUGCCGGGGUCAACUCGGAGGAAGGUGGGGAUGACGUCAAAUCAUCAUGCCCCUUAUGUCUUGGGCUUCACGCAUGCUACAAUGGCCGGUACAAAGGGCUGCAAUACCGUGAGGUGGAGCGAAUCCCAAAAAGCCGGUCCCAGUUCGGAUUGAGGUCUGCAACUCGACCUCAUGAAGUCGGAGUCGCUAGUAAUCGCAGAUCAGCAACGCUGCGGUGAAUACGUUCCCGGGUCUUGUACACACCGCCCGUCAAGUCAUGAAAGUCGGUAACACCUGAAGCCGGUGGCCCAACCCUUGUGGAGGGAGCCGUCGAAGGUGGGAUCGGUAAUUAGGACUAAGUCGUAACAAGGUAGCCGUACCGGAAGGUGCGGCUGGAUCACCUCCUUUCUA